UGAGGUCACUAAUUACAGAGAAGCAG
Molecule: non-coding RNA, 26 nt
Filed under: Mus musculus (house mouse)
Lineage: Eukaryota; Metazoa; Chordata; Mammalia; Rodentia; Muridae
Source: RNAcentral